AUUGAACGCUGGCGGCAUGCUUUACACAUGCAAGUCGAACGGUAACAGGCCUUCGGGUGCUGACGAGUGGCGAACGGGUGAGUAAUGCAUCGGAACGUACCCAGAGGUGGGGGAUAACGCAGCGAAAGCUGUGCUAAUACCGCAUGUGAUCUGAGGAUGAAAGCGGGGGACCGAGCAGCAAUGUUUGGCCUCGCGCCUUUGGAGCGGCCGAUGUCGGAUUAGCUGGUUGGUGGGGUAAUGGCCUACCAAGGCGACGAUGCGUAGCUGGUCGGAGAGGACGGCCGGCCGCACUGGGACUGAGCCACCGCCCAGACUCCUACGGGAGGCAGCAGUGGGGAAUUUUGGACAAUGGGCGCAAGCAUGAUACAGCAAUGCCGCGUGCGGGAAGAAGGCCUUCGGGUUGUAAACCGCUUUUGGCAGGAACGAAACGGUGUCCGCUAAUACCGGGCGCUAAUGACGGUACCUGCAGAAUAAGCACCGGCUAACUACGUG
This 492-nucleotide ribosomal RNA is filed under the name uncultured bacterium. RNAcentral describes it as "partial 16S ribosomal RNA". It matches the Rfam family "Bacterial small subunit ribosomal RNA", at positions 29 to 507 of the family's 1533-position model. The record is from RNAcentral.